CCUACGGGGGGCUGCAGUGGGGAAUAUUGGACAAUGGGGGGAACCCUGAUCCAGCCAUGCCGCGUGUGUGAAGAAGGCCCUCGGGUUGUAAAGCACUUUCAGUGAGGAAGAACGCCUGGUGGUUAAUACCCAUCAGGAAAGACAUCACUCACAGAAGAAGCACCGGCUAACUCCGUGCCAGCAGCCGCGGUAAUACGGAGGGUACGAGCGUUAAUCGGAAUUACUGGGCGUAAAGCGCGCGUAGGUGGCUUGAUAAGCCGGUUGUGAAAGCCCCGGGCUCAACCUGGGAACGGCAUCCGGAACUGUCAAGCUAGAGUGCAGGAGAGGAAGGUAGAAUUCCCGGUGUAGCGGUGAAAUGCGUAGAGAUCGGGAGGAAUACCAGUGGCGAAGGCGGCCUUCUGGACUGACACUGACACUGAGGUGCGAAAGCGUGGGUAGCAAACAGGAUUAGAUACCCUAGUAGUC
RNAcentral lists this ribosomal RNA (465 nucleotides) under Vreelandella stevensii. Its description in RNAcentral is "partial 16S ribosomal RNA". It matches the Rfam family "Bacterial small subunit ribosomal RNA", at positions 338 to 795 of the family's 1533-position model. The record is from RNAcentral. Lineage: Bacteria; Pseudomonadati; Pseudomonadota; Gammaproteobacteria; Oceanospirillales; Halomonadaceae.